This 157-nucleotide ribosomal RNA is filed under the name Epicoccum nigrum. RNAcentral's name for it is "5.8S ribosomal RNA". It matches the Rfam family "5.8S ribosomal RNA". Rfam says of the family: 5.8S ribosomal RNA (5.8S rRNA) is a component of the large subunit of the eukaryotic ribosome. It is transcribed by RNA polymerase I as part of the 45S precursor that also contains 18S and 28S rRNA. Lineage: Eukaryota; Fungi; Ascomycota; Dothideomycetes; Pleosporales; Didymellaceae. The record is from RNAcentral.
AACUUUCAACAACGGAUCUCUUGGUUCUGGCAUCGAUGAAGAACGCAGCGAAAUGCGAUAAGUAGUGUGAAUUGCAGAAUUCAGUGAAUCAUCGAAUCUUUGAACGCACAUUGCGCCCCUUGGUAUUCCAUGGGGCAUGCCUGUUCGAGCGACAUUU